This 451-nucleotide long non-coding RNA is filed under the name Sus scrofa (pig). Its description in RNAcentral is "lncRNA (ENSSSCG00070018468.1)". The record is from RNAcentral. Lineage: Eukaryota; Metazoa; Chordata; Mammalia; Artiodactyla; Suidae.
GCGUGGAAAAACAAACGUAAGCCCAGGUGCCCGCGCACCCGGAAGGAGAGAAUGCGGGAAGCGAACAGGACACUGAGUGCAGAGGCAGUGGCUAAGAGCCAUAGCACAGAAUCCAGACUGAAUACGGGUUUGAAUCCGCCUUUCUAUCAUCUAUGUGAUCACAGGUAGGUCACCUCAUCUCUUCUGACCUCAGUUUCCUCAUCUCUAAAGUGGAGAUGUUUAUAGCACCUCCUUCUUAGAAUUGCUGAGAAUGUUACAGAAUUAGUUUACGUGGGUAAACUAACUGUGCCUGGCAUAGAGGCAUAGAGCAAGUGCUUCUUAUUAUUAGGCUGUUCUAAAGUUUAAAUUCAAGUGACUCUAUUUGAAUUGAGUUGAUGGUACUUUUUCAUAUGUUUGAAAUUUUGGCUGGCCAACUUUCCUGACUCCAAAUAAAGCAGUACUCCCCACAACA